This is a non-coding RNA of Fukomys damarensis (Damara mole-rat), 45 nucleotides long. NCBI's taxonomy places the organism in Eukaryota, Metazoa, Chordata, Mammalia, Rodentia, Bathyergidae. The record is from Rfam.
ACAAAGGCUCUUUUCAGAGCCACCCACGGCGCUCCCUGGGAAGAG